Rhipicephalus sanguineus (brown dog tick) is the source of this 400-nucleotide long non-coding RNA. RefSeq lists it as uncharacterized. The record is from RefSeq and is a predicted model, not a curated record. NCBI's taxonomy places the organism in Eukaryota, Metazoa, Arthropoda, Arachnida, Ixodida, Ixodidae. The transcript is spliced from 3 exons.
CCAAAAUCGCACAUGCAGCGACAGCAAGCGCAGGGAUCAGCACGGCCGCACGUAUUCGGCGACUUCGGCGAGAGUCAUGAAAGCACUGCACAUCAUUUUGUUUCUCGGCGCCGCGAUACAGGCCGUGUGCGCCUACUGGAGCCAUGAGUACUCUCAACACAGCCAAUGCUUGGCUUACUGUUGGCCGGACCACCCCAACUAUAGUCCCUGCAGUCCUGGAUGCCUGUGCUACCGGAGGUUUGACUACCCCAGUUCUGGUUACUGCUUGGAUCCAAAAAGACCGAUCCCUCAUCAUUUCCGCAUGCUUGGCGCUCGCUACAAUCGCUCUAAUUAGCUGCUGCUUACAACCUGCUGCACACCGAUCGCAUUCCUAAGAUACGCGAAUAAAGUAUUUCCUCCA